Molecule: small nuclear RNA, 103 nt
Organism: Solanum stenotomum
Lineage: Eukaryota; Viridiplantae; Streptophyta; Magnoliopsida; Solanales; Solanaceae
Source: RefSeq, a predicted model, not a curated record
GUUCCCGAAGGGACAUCCGAUAAAAUUAGAAUGAUACAGAAAAAAUUAGCUUGACCCUUGCAGAAGGAUGACACGCACAAAUCGAGAAAUGAUCCAAGUAGAG